ACCAUAUGCAAGGUUUCGUACACAGAGGGACUUGUCGGGAAAGAGAUGGCUGCUUGAGGAAGCUCCCAUUUAUUAACAUUUCAACAAACAAGUUGCAUAUUUGCAUAACGUAUUCAAAACAUAUACUGUGCUGUGUAAACGGUACUGUAUCACAUAGCGUAACAGACACACAAACUUUUCAACUUUCAAACUUAAACGGUGCGCUCCCAGCGCACAUACCAGCAGUGAGGCCUAAAAAAAUUUUUGUUUGGUUCCGGUUUCCGACCGACCCUGUCAAUUUAUGUGCGACCCAAAUUAUUUUAUGAGCUUUAUAAAAAAAAAAUAUUUUUAUUUUUUUUGAUGCAAACUAUAAUUACGUUUU
Gadus macrocephalus (Pacific cod) is the source of this 361-nucleotide long non-coding RNA. RefSeq lists it as uncharacterized. Lineage: Eukaryota; Metazoa; Chordata; Actinopteri; Gadiformes; Gadidae. The transcript is spliced from 2 exons. The record is from RefSeq and is a predicted model, not a curated record.